GCGUGUGUGAAGAAGGCCUUUUGGUUGUAAAGCACUUUAAGCAGUGAAGAAGACCUAACGGUUAAUACCCGUUAGCGAUGACAUUAGCUGCAGAAUAAGCACCGGCUAACUCUGUGCCAGCAGCCGCGGUAAUACAGAGGGUGCAAGCGUUAAUCGGAAUUACUGGGCGUAAAGCGAGCGUAGGUGGCUUGAUAAGUCAGAUGUGAAAUCCCCGGGCUUAACCUGGGAACUGCAUCUGAUACUGUCAGGCUAGAAUAGGUGAGAGGAAGGUAGAAUUCCAGGUGUAGCGGUGAAAUGCGUAGAGAUCUGGAGGAAUACCGAUGGCGAAGGCAGCCUUCUGGCAUCAUAUUGACACUGAGGUUCGAAAGCGUGGGUAGCAAACAGGAUUAGAUACCCUGGUAGUCCACGCCGUAAACGAUGUCUACUAGUCGUUGGGUCCCUUGAGGACUUAGUGACGCAGCUAACGCAAUAAGUAGACCGCCUGGGGAGUACGGCCGCAAGGUUAAAACUCAAAUGAAUUGACGGGGGCCCGCACAAGCGGUGGAGCAUGUGGUUUAAUUCGAUGCAACGCGAAGAACCUUACCUGGUCUUGACAUAUCUAGAAUCCUGCAGAGAUGCGGGAGUGCCUUCGGGAAUUAGAAUACAGGUGCUGCAUGGCUGUCGUCAGCUCGUGUCGUGAGAUGUUGGGUUAAGUCCCGCAACGAGCGCAACCCUUGUCCUUAGUUACCAGCGGGUUAAGCCGGGAACUCUAAGGAUACUGCCAGUGACAAACUGGAGGAAGGCGGGGACGACGUCAAGUCAUCAUGGCCCUUACGACCAGGGCUACACACGUGCUACAAUGGUAGGUACAGAGGGCAGCUACACAGCGAUGUGAUGCGAAUCUUUCAAAGCCUAUCGUAGUCCAGAUUGGAGUCUGCAACUCGACUCCAUGAAGUAGGAAUCGCUAGUAAUCGCGGAUCAGAAUGCCGCGGUGAAUACGUUCCCGGGCCUUGUACACACCGCCCGUCACACCAUGGGAGUUGAUUGCACCAGAAGUGGUUAGCCUAACGUAAGAGGGCGAUCACCACGGUGUGGUUGAUGACUGGGGUGAAGUCGUAACAAGGUA
This 1105-nucleotide ribosomal RNA is filed under the name uncultured bacterium. Its description in RNAcentral is "bacterial SSU rRNA". It matches the Rfam family "Bacterial small subunit ribosomal RNA", at positions 399 to 1498 of the family's 1533-position model. The record is from RNAcentral.